Nanorana parkeri is the source of this 159-nucleotide long non-coding RNA. RefSeq lists it as uncharacterized. NCBI's taxonomy places the organism in Eukaryota, Metazoa, Chordata, Amphibia, Anura, Dicroglossidae. The transcript has 3 exons. The record is from RefSeq and is a predicted model, not a curated record.
CUGGAGAUCAUCUACCUGCUGACCGGAGAGGUGACCAUCACAGUGCCUCCAUGUGACUCCCUAAAACCCGAGAGACCCAACAUGGAGAAGAUUCUAGAAGUCACCAAGAAGAUGAUGGAGCUGCUGACGGGAGAGGUUCCUAUAAGGUGUCAGGAUGUC